GUUUUGCGUCGCUUCGUGCAAUAGUUUGUCACCCUGUUGUCAGAGUUUAAUAGCAUUUCACCGUUCCUCUCCUCAGGCAAGUUUCUUCUUCCUCAUAAGAUGCUUAUCCAUGCAUUGGUGAGAUGAGGUGAACGACUUUUUCAAUAAGGCAAGGUAUAUUUCAGGGCUAAGGUUAUCUUUGGAUUAAAUGCUCUUGUGGGGAAACAUGUAAAUCUCAGUUCUGCUAUUGGACCUUGGAGCUAAGUCAAUGCUAUCUCUUAUAUGUUACAGGCACAAUAAGAC
Lotus japonicus is the source of this 282-nucleotide long non-coding RNA. RefSeq lists it as uncharacterized. NCBI's taxonomy places the organism in Eukaryota, Viridiplantae, Streptophyta, Magnoliopsida, Fabales, Fabaceae. The transcript has 3 exons. The record is from RefSeq and is a predicted model, not a curated record.